RNAcentral lists this ribosomal RNA (502 nucleotides) under uncultured bacterium. RNAcentral's name for it is "bacterial SSU rRNA". It matches the Rfam family "Bacterial small subunit ribosomal RNA", at positions 28 to 517 of the family's 1533-position model. The record is from RNAcentral.
GACGAACGCUGGCGGCGUGGAUUAGGCAUGCAAGUCGGACGGUAGGGCUUUAUCGUAAGAUAGAGUUUGAGAGUGGCGAACGGGUGAGUAACACGUAGGAAUCUACCCUUAAGACGGGGACAACCCAGGGAAACUUGGGCUAAUACCGGAUGAGAGUGCGAGAGAUUGCAUUUAAAAGGAUGGCGAAAGUUGUCGCUUAGGGAUGAGCCUGCGGUCUAUUAGUUAGUUGGUGAGGUAAGAGCUCACCAAGGCGAUGAUAGAUAGGCGGCCUUAACGGGUGGUCGCCCACACUGGGAUUGAGAUACGGCCCAGACUCCUACGGGAGCAGCAGUCGAGAAUAGUCUACAAUGGCCGGAAGGCUGAUAGUGCGACGCCGCGUGAACGAGGGAGCCCUUCGGGGUGUAAAGUUCUUUUCUAUACGAGCAGUGCUAUAUAUAUGGUAUAGUAUAUAUAGAGGGAUAGUAGUAUAGGAUAAGCAACGGCUAACUCGUGCAGCAGACCG